GGCUUCACUGUUAAGAUCCAGGCACCGGGAACAGAGCCCUUUGACUUGCAGGUAUCUCCCCAGGAAAUGGUACAGGAGAUCCAUCAGGUGUUGAUGGACCGCGAGGACACCUGCCACCGCACUUGCUUCUCCCUGCAGCUGGAUGGGAACGUGCUGGACAACUUUGCUGAGCUCAAAUCCAUCGAGGGCCUGCAGGAGGGCUCACUGCUCAAAGUGGUAGAAGAGCCCUACACAGUGCGCGAGGCCCGAUCCAUGUGCGUCACAUCAGAGACCUGCUGAAAAGUCUGGACCCCUCAACGCCUACAACGGAGUGGACUGCAACUCCCUCUCUUUCCUCAGCAUCUUCACGGACG
Molecule: long non-coding RNA, 353 nt
Organism: Larimichthys crocea (large yellow croaker)
Lineage: Eukaryota; Metazoa; Chordata; Actinopteri; Sciaenidae
Exons: 3
Source: RefSeq, a predicted model, not a curated record